GUUUAAGUUCCUUUGUGCCUACUGAACAGCUUCGCCUAAAAUCAGUGACAACCUGCCCGCUCCCAUGCCUGUUCGUCAUAAAUGUGUGAAAACAGAGCCCAGCAUAGUUAGUAAUUAUCCCUUCAUUAUGCCAAUAUGCUUCUGAAAGCAUAAUCAUGAUCAAAAGACACGUGAUUCUCCUCUUACUGCUUUCUGUUUGCAGGUUUCAACUUUUUUUAUUUCUCUUCCUGCUAAUAAGGAUUUUUUAAUUUGAAAAUCAACAACAGCUUUUGAAGCCUGUGCCUGUCCUCAUGGUAAUGAUAAAUCUCCCCUGACCUGAGGACUCAGACUCUGCAGCAGUGAAUAGCAGCUGAAAUAACAGGCACGUGGAAAUGCUGCAGAGAAGGACACACAAGAAGCAUCUACAGCUCCAGGGGACUCGCGUGGAUCAUUUGGUGCCCAUUGCAGGUGGCUCAGUUUGUACUUCAGCAAGGAAGAAAUGUGGCUCCUCUUCAAGUCAUAUAUCACAUCGGAUAUUCUGGACAUCAGCAAUCAUGCAUCCUGCUGCAGCAUUCAGGUUCCUGCUUUAGGGACCCAGGUAUCAUAUAAUUUCCUGUGAGCUCAGUGGGUACAGGAUUUCACUCACACACACACAGAAUGAACAGAGAUAAACAGCCAAAAUUAGAGGAGGCUGCAUUUCCUACGGAUAAAUAUUAAUUCUACAGAGAAGUUAAUAAAACCGAUUUUCCUUUUAAGCAAACGCAUUUUCACAAAACCUUGGGAAAAAACCCAACACAAACAUACCUGACAGAAUAUCUGAG
Molecule: long non-coding RNA, 800 nt
Organism: Gallus gallus (chicken)
Lineage: Eukaryota; Metazoa; Chordata; Aves; Galliformes; Phasianidae
Source: Ensembl